AAAAAAAAAGUUUGAUUCUGGCUUGAUUAAUUUAAAUAAUUUUUUUAAUUGUUAGCUAAUUUUAAUUUAGUUAUAUGGAAAUUUUUAUAUUUAUAUAUAAGUCUAAAUGGUUAGUUUUAUUUUCAGAACUUAAUUUUAAUUUUGAGUUAAUUCUUGAUUUAGAAUUUAUUAAUUAAUAUUGGAUAAUAUUGUGCCAGCAUCUGCGGUUAUACAAUAAAUAUAAGUUAAUUUUAUUAAAUUUUUAUUUAAUUUAAAUUGUUAUAGUUAUUUAAUCUAUUUUUAGGUGAAAUUUAAAUUUUUUUAAACUAUAUUUGGAAUUAAAUGAUAAAAAUUUAAAUUAAACUAGGAUUAGAUACCCUAUUAUUUUUUUUGUAAAUAUUUUAUGAUUAUAAGUUAUGAUCUUUAAAGUAAAAGAAUUUGGCGGUAAUUUAAUUUUUUAGAGGAACCUGCCCUAUAAUUGAUAAUCCACGAUAUAAUUAACUUUAAUUUAACUUAUAUAUCGCUGUCUUUAGGAAUGUUUUAUAAGAAUUAUUUUCUUUAAUAAUUAUAUUUUUCAUGUCAGGUCAAGAUGUAGUAAUAUUAAAGAAGAGGUGGGUUACAUUUAAUUUAAUAAUAUUUAAUUUUUUUAUAUAAAAAUUAUAAAUUGGAUUUAAAAGUAAAAUUUAUUAAUUUAUAUUUUUGAAUAUAUCUUAAAUUAUGCACAUAUCGCCCGUCGCUCUCACUAUAAGGUUAGAUAAGUCGUAACAAAGUAACCCUACCGGAAGGUGGGGUUAAUAAGACA
Molecule: non-coding RNA, 781 nt
Filed under: Hydrometra stagnorum
Lineage: Eukaryota; Metazoa; Arthropoda; Insecta; Hemiptera; Hydrometridae
Source: RNAcentral